Non-coding RNA from Caenorhabditis elegans, 21 nucleotides. NCBI's taxonomy places the organism in Eukaryota, Metazoa, Nematoda, Chromadorea, Rhabditida, Rhabditidae. The record is from Ensembl.
UAUUGUGGACUUUUCUACAUU